This 1432-nucleotide ribosomal RNA is filed under the name uncultured organism. RNAcentral describes it as "SSU rRNA". It matches the Rfam family "Bacterial small subunit ribosomal RNA". The record is from RNAcentral.
AACACAUGCAAGUCGAGGGGCAUCAGGAAGAAUGCUUGCUUUCUUUGCUGGCGACCGGCGCACGGGUGAGUAACACGUAUCCAACCUGCCCUUUACUCGGGGAUAGCCUUUCGAAAGAAAGAUUAAUACCCGAUAGUAUAAUGAUUCCGCAUGGUUUGAUUAUUAAAGGAUUCCGGUAAAGGAUGGGGAUGCGUUCCAUUAGGUUGUUGGUGAGGUAACGGCUCACCAAGCCUUCGAUGGAUAGGGGUUCUGAGAGGAAGGUCCCCCACAUUGGAACUGAGACACGGUCCAAACUCCUACGGGAGGCAGCAGUGAGGAAUAUUGGUCAAUGGGCGGUAGCCUGAACCAGCCAAGUAGCGUGAAGGAUGAAGGCUCUAUGGGUCGUAAACUUCUUUUAUAUAAGAAUAAAGUGCAGUAUGUAUACUGUUUUGUAUGUAUUAUAUGAAUAAGGAUCGGCUAACUCCGUGCCAGCAGCCGCGGUAAUACGGAGGAUCCGAGCGUUAUCCGGAUUUAUUGGGUUUAAAGGGAGCGUAGGUGGACUGGUAAGUCAGUUGUGAAAGUUUGCGGCUCAACCGUAAAAUUGCAGUUGAUACUGUCAGUCUUGAGUACAGUAGAGGUGGGCGGAAUUCGUGGUGUAGCGGUGAAAUGCUUAGAUAUCACGAAGAACUCCGAUUGCGAAGGCAGCUCACUGGACUGCAACUGACACUGAUGCUCCGAAGUGUGGGUAUCAAACAGGAUUAGAUACCCUGGUAGUCCACACAGUAAACGAUGAAUACUCGCUGUUUGCGAUAUACAGUAAGCGGCCAAGCGAAAGCAUUAAGUAUUCCACCUGGGGAGUACGCCGGCAACGGUGAAACUCAAAGGAAUUGACGGGGGCCCGCACAAGCGGAGGAACAUGUGGUUUAAUUCGAUGAUACGCGAGGAACCUUACCCGGGCUUAAAUUGCAGUGGAAUGAUGUGGAAACAUGUCAGUGAGCAAUCACCGCUGUGAAGGUGCUGCAUGGUUGUCGUCAGCUCGUGCCGUGAGGUGUCGGCUUAAGUGCCAUAACGAGCGCAACCCUUAUCUUUAGUUACUAACAGGUCAUGCUGAGGACUCUAGAGAGACUGCCGUCGUAAGAUGUGAGGAAGGUGGGGAUGACGUCAAAUCAGCACGGCCCUUACGUCCGGGGCUACACACGUGUUACAAUGGGGGGUACAGAAGGCAGCUAGCGGGUGACCGUAUGCUAAUCCCAAAAGCCUCUCUCAGUUCGGAUCGAAGUCUGCAACCCGACUUCGUGAAGCUGGAUUCGCUAGUAAUCGCGCAUCAGCCACGGCGCGGUGAAUACGUUCCCGGGCCUUGUACACACCGCCCGUCAAGCCAUGGGAGCCGGGGGUACCUGAAGUACGUAAACGCAAGGAUCGUCCUAGGGUAAAACUGGUGACUGGGGCUAAA